GAUGAACGCUGGCGGCGUGCCUAAUACAUGCGAGUCGAGCGAAUGGAUUAAGAGCUUGCUCUUAUGAAGUUAGCGGCGGACGGGUGAGUAACACGUGGGUAACCUGCCCAUAAGACUGGGAUAACUCCGGGAAACCGGGGCUCAUACCGGAUAACAUUUUGAACCGCAUGGUUCGAAAUUGAAAGGCGGCUUCGGCUGGCACUGAUGGAUGGACCCGCGUCGCACUAGCUAGUUGGUGAGGUAACGGCUCACCAAGGCAACGAUGCGUAGCCGACCUGAGAGGGUGAUCGGCCACACUGGGACUGAGACACGGCCCAGACUCCGACGGGAGGCAGCAGUAGGGAAUCUUCCGCAAUGGACGAAAGUCUGACGGAGCAACGCCGCGUGAGUGAUGAAGGCUUUCGGGUCGUAAAACUCUGUUGUUAGGGAAGGACAAGUGCUAGUUGAAUAAGCUGGCACCUUGACGGUACCUAACCAGAAAGCCACGGCUAACUACGUGCCAGCAGCCGCGGUAA
RNAcentral lists this ribosomal RNA (515 nucleotides) under uncultured bacterium. RNAcentral describes it as "partial 16S ribosomal RNA". It matches the Rfam family "Bacterial small subunit ribosomal RNA", at positions 28 to 523 of the family's 1533-position model. The record is from RNAcentral.